UCCUAUAUAAAAGAAAUUUCGACUACAAAAUUCUGAAAACCUUUGGCUGUGCUUGUUACCCCUGUCUGAGACCAUACCAAAAACAUAAGUUCAACUUUCAUUCUCAAAGGCGUGUCUUUCUUGGCUAUGGUGUUUCACAUAAAGGAUAUAAGUGUCUAAAUUCAACUGGUAGAAUUUAUAUCUCAAGGCAUGUCGUGUUCAAUGAGUCUGAGUUUUCGUUCAAAACUGGUUUUCUAAACAGAUAUACUCAGCCAAAAACUUCUGAAAUUGUCAUAAGUCAUCUUCCGUUUGAUACUGAGUCAAGUUAUAUAGUAGUACCCCAAAAUGAAGCUGAUACAAUUCAUCCUAUUACUACACUUGCUGCUGAGUCCUUCAACAGAGAAUUAGAACAUGAAAUUGAAGAUGAUGGAAAUGGGAGUGUUGAAAUGGAUCAGGAAACAUCUGCUAGCCAUGUAGUUAUUGAUACUCAGCAAAGUGGAAGUGUUGAAUUAGAGGAUGGUAUCGAUACUGAUGUUCAAAAUAUCACACAGGAGAGAGGACAUCAUAUGGUUACCAGAAGCAAAGCGGGGAUUUUCAAACUAAAAGUUUACACUUGUCUCUUUCAAGACUUUCACACAACUAAGACUAAACCAUAUAAUGUUGAAGAAGCCUUGCUAAGUGAUAAUUGGAGGAAAGCUAUGCAAGAAGAGUACAAUGCUUUGAUGAAGAAUAGGACAUGGAAACUAGUACCUCCAAAACCAGGAAGAAAGGUAAUUGGCAACAAAUGGGUGUACAGACUGAAGUGUGAUUCAGAAGGUAAAGUGCAAAGGUACAAGGCAAGGUUAGUUGCAAAAGGGUUCCUGCAAACACCUGGAGUGGAUUUUAGUGAAACCUUUAGUCUAGUCAUUAAGGCAUCAACCUUGAAGAUCAUAUUGACCCUUGCUGUGAGCAGAGAUUGGCAAAUCAGACAAAUUGAUAUAAACAAUGCAUUCUUGAAUGGUAAGUUGGAAGAAACAGUAUACAUGAGUUAGCCACAAGGCUUUGUAGAUCAGAAAAAUCCCAAUUUUGUGUGCAAAUUGGAGAAGGCACUGUAUGGACUUAGGCAAGCCCCAAGAGCCUGGUAUGAAAAGCUAAAGAAUACAUUGUUGCAGUGGAGCUUCAAGCAGUCCAAGGCUGAUAACUCACUGUUUUUCUUGAUGGAUGAAAGAAGUGUGUUGUUUGUAUUAGUAAAUGUUGAUGAUAUAGUAGUGACAGGGAGUAAUGGUGAACAGCUGCAAGUGUUCAUUGAUAAACUGAAUGCAUGUUUUGCUCUUAAGGAUAUGGGAAGUCUUAGCCAAUUCUUGGGUAUUGAGGUGUGUAGAAAUGCAACAGGGCUGUACUUAACUCAAACAAAAUAUGUAAUUGAUCUAUUUAAGAAGUUUGGCUAUGAGAAUCUAAAACCGAGCUUGACACCUAUGGCAGUUGGGAAACUGAUCUCUAAGGCUGAAGGGCUGGUCAUGAAAGAUCCAACUCUUUAUAGAAGUGCAGUUGGUGGGCUUCAAUAACUAGCACAUACAAGACCUGACAUUACCUAUGCCGUGAAUAGAAUGAGUCAAUUCCUUCAAGCACCCACAGAUGUUCACUGGAAAACACUUAAGAGAAUUUUUAGAUAUUUAAAUGGAACUCUGAAUCAUGGUUUGGUUAUUAAAAAAAGUGACAGCCUAGAGAUAUCAGCAUUUGCUGAUUCAGACUGGGCAUCGUGCCUAGAUGACAGGAGGUCUACAGCAGGAUAUUGUGUGUAUCUUGGAGAUAAUCUGGUAUCCUGGUGUUCCAAAAAGCAACAUGUUGUUGCCAGAUCAAGUACAGAGGCUGAGUAUAGAGCAUUAGCUCAUAGUGCUUCAGAAAUUACUUGGAUACAAUCACUACUAAGAGAACUGAGUAUACCACAGAAUUCAACUCCUAAAAUUCGGUAUGAUAAUCUGAGUGCAAGUGCAUUGGCUUCAAAUCUGGUGUAUCAUGCUCGCACCAAGCACAUAGAAUUGGAUGUUCACUUUGUAAGAGACAAAGUUCUGAGAAAGGAGUUGGAAAUCCACUAUGUACCAUCUUCAGACCAAACUGCAGAUUUGUUGACAAAGCCUCUAACUCAUUCAAGGUUCCUAUUCUUCAGAGACAAGCUUGGAGUGGUUGAGACACACUCCACCUUGAGAGGGGGUGUUAGAAUUAAUCAACCAACUGUGAGGAAUUAUCUACCAUAGAUGGCUGCUCAACCUUUAUAACAACCUUCUCAGGAUAAUAGAGUAUUUCCUUAAUUUUAGGAGUGGAAGAAUAAUUCUGUAGUGGAAGAAUAAUUUUGUUGGACACAUGGCAUCAUUGUAUAGGUGGUAGUAGAAUAUUCUUCUUUGUAUGUAUUCUCCCUUGUCUGUAAUCGUGUAUAUAGGGAGUGCAGAGGAAGAGAUUUUUUGAGCUGAA
This 2427-nucleotide long non-coding RNA is filed under the name Olea europaea subsp. europaea. The record is from RNAcentral. Lineage: Eukaryota; Viridiplantae; Streptophyta; Magnoliopsida; Lamiales; Oleaceae.